This 391-nucleotide unclassified non-coding RNA is filed under the name soil metagenome. RNAcentral describes it as "partial contains 5.8S ribosomal RNA, internal transcribed spacer 2, and large subunit ribosomal RNA". The stretch from base 1 to 122 matches the Rfam family "5.8S ribosomal RNA", at positions 35 to 154 of the family's 154-position model. The record is from RNAcentral.
GAUGAAGAACGCAGUGAAAUGCGAUACUUGGUGUGAAUUGCAGAAUCCCGUGAACCAUCGAGUCUUUGAACGCAAGUUGCGCCCGAAGCCAUUAGGCCGAGGGCACGCCUGCCUGGGCGUCACACGUCGUUGCCCCCCCAUCUACUCCUUCGGGAUUGCGGGGCGCGGAUGAUGGCCUCCCGUGCGCCUCGCCGCGCGGUUGGCAUAAAUGCCAAGUCCUCGGCGACGCACGCCACGACAAUCGGUGGUUGCGAAACCUCGGUUGCCCGUCGUGUGCGGUCGUCGCGCAUCGAGGGCUCGAAAAAAUUGCCGAGUUCCGGCUCGGCUUUCAACGCGACCCCAGGUCAGGCGGGGUUACCCGCUGAAUUUAAGCAUAUCAAUAAGCGGAGGA